Molecule: unclassified non-coding RNA, 203 nt
Filed under: Hevea brasiliensis (rubber tree)
Lineage: Eukaryota; Viridiplantae; Streptophyta; Magnoliopsida; Malpighiales; Euphorbiaceae
Source: RNAcentral
UGAUUUUUGAAUGAGAUUGUUUUGAAUUUAAUUUUGGAUUUGCAAAUUACGAAUUUGAUGGUUUUUAAUAAGAUUGAUAUGAUUUAAAUUUUGGAUUUUGCAAAUGAUAGAUUUGUUGAUUUUAGAUGAGAUUGAUUUUAUUUUGAUUUUGGUUUUGUAGAUUAUACAUUUAUUGAUUGUGGAAGAAAUUGUUUCAAUUUUAA